UAAGGUUCGAUUCGAGCGAAAGCGAGAAAGCUUUGCCGCAGGCAACGACCCGAAGGGCGAAACGCGCAGCGCUGAGUCAUCCUUCCCCCACCACCA
This 96-nucleotide small RNA is filed under the name Salmonella enterica. Its description in RNAcentral is "partial RtT sRNA". It matches the Rfam family "RtT RNA", at positions 37 to 130 of the family's 130-position model. From Rfam's summary of the family: This family represents a bacterial cis-regulatory element known as RtT RNA. The record is from RNAcentral. Lineage: Bacteria; Pseudomonadati; Pseudomonadota; Gammaproteobacteria; Enterobacterales; Enterobacteriaceae. RNAcentral also lists the same sequence under 1 other name.